GGGCUCGUGGGGUAGGCGGACAUCCUGAGGGGCUUCGGACCCCUCGACCCGGGUUCAACUCCCGGCGAGCCCG
This 73-nucleotide transfer RNA is filed under the name Archaeoglobus profundus DSM 5631. RNAcentral describes it as "tRNA-Arg (TCG) (tRNA-Arg-TCG-1-1)". It matches the Rfam family "tRNA". From Rfam's summary of the family: Transfer RNA (tRNA) molecules are approximately 80 nucleotides in length. The record is from Rfam by way of RNAcentral. Lineage: Archaea; Methanobacteriati; Methanobacteriota; Archaeoglobi; Archaeoglobales; Archaeoglobaceae.